AUACGAAGGGGGCUAGCGUUGUUCGGAUUUACUGGGCGUAAAGCGCACGUAGGCGGAUUGAUAAGUUAGGGGUGAAAUCCCGAGGCUCAACCUCGGAACUGCCUCUAAUACUGUCAAUCUCGAGACCGGAAGAGGUGAGUGGAACUCCUAGUGUAGAGGUGGAAUUCGUAGAUAUUAGGAAGAGCACCAGUGGCGAAGGCGGCUCACUGGUCCGGUACUGACGCUGAGGUGCGAAAGCGUGGGGAGCGAACAGGAUUAGAAACCCUAGUAGUCC
RNAcentral lists this ribosomal RNA (274 nucleotides) under uncultured bacterium. RNAcentral's name for it is "partial 16S ribosomal RNA". It matches the Rfam family "Bacterial small subunit ribosomal RNA", at positions 523 to 796 of the family's 1533-position model. The record is from RNAcentral.